Molecule: ribosomal RNA, 292 nt
Filed under: uncultured bacterium
Lineage: Bacteria
Description: partial 16S ribosomal RNA
Rfam family: Bacterial small subunit ribosomal RNA
Source: RNAcentral
GUGUCAGCCGCCGCGGUAAUACGAAGGAUCCAAGCGUUAUCCGGAUUUAUUGGGUUUAAAGGGUGCGUAGGUGGGCUAUUAAGUCAGUGGUGAAAGCUUCCCGCUUAACGGGAAAAUUGCCAUUGAUACUGAUGGUCUUGAGUGCAUUUGAAGUGGGCGGAAUGUGUCGUGUAGUGGUGAAAUACUUAGAUAUGACACAGAACACCGAUUGCGAAGGCAGCUCACUAAACUGUAACUGACACUGAGGCACGAAAGCGUGGGGAUCAAACAGGAUUAGAAACCCGGGUAGUCC